UACGGAGGGAGCUAGCGUUGUUCGGAUAUACUGGGCGUAAAGCGCACGUAGGCGGCGCCGUAAGUCAGGGGUGAAAUCCCGGAGCUCAACUCCGGAACUGCCCUUGAAACUGCAGUGCUAGAAUCCUGGAGAGGCGAGUGGAAUUCCGAGUGUAGAGGUGAAAUUCGUAGAUAUUCGGAAGAACACCAGUGGCGAAGGCGGCUCACUGGACUGGUAUUGACGCUGAGGUGCGAAAGCGUGGGGAGCAAACAGG
This 253-nucleotide ribosomal RNA is filed under the name uncultured bacterium. RNAcentral's name for it is "partial 16S ribosomal RNA". It matches the Rfam family "Bacterial small subunit ribosomal RNA", at positions 524 to 776 of the family's 1533-position model. The record is from RNAcentral.